AGAGAUCUACAGACAAAAUAAACCAAGAAGAGACUUCUCAGAAGAAAAAGUAAAGAAUGGGAAAGAAACAUAUUAGGAAAGGUUCCUCAUCCCUCGCCAUAAA
Dipodomys spectabilis (banner-tailed kangaroo rat) is the source of this 103-nucleotide long non-coding RNA. RefSeq lists it as uncharacterized. The record is from RefSeq and is a predicted model, not a curated record. The transcript is spliced from 3 exons. Lineage: Eukaryota; Metazoa; Chordata; Mammalia; Rodentia; Heteromyidae.